This is a long non-coding RNA of Tachysurus vachellii, 150 nucleotides long. RefSeq lists it as uncharacterized. The record is from RefSeq and is a predicted model, not a curated record. The transcript is spliced from 3 exons. NCBI's taxonomy places the organism in Eukaryota, Metazoa, Chordata, Actinopteri, Siluriformes, Bagridae.
GGAAGACCUAAAAAUCUCCAGGACGAAGAGGGAAAGGUUUCUAUUUAUUUCAGCAGAAAGAAAAAGAUUGACGGAAUUUCAAGCUGCGUCUGUUUGUCAAUGUUCAAGUGGUUGAAUCUCCGAUAUCCUAUAAACAUGUCAAAAUGUGGA